ACACAAGAGCAUUUCUGGAAAGAUUAAAAGAAAAAGAAGGAACUCGGCAAAUCCAGGCCUCGCCUGUUUACCAAAAACAUCGCCUCUUGACUUCCAUAAGAGGUCCAGCCUGCCCAGUGAUACUAUUAAACGGCCGCGGUACCCUGACCGUGCGAAGGUAGCAUAAUAACUUGUUCUUUAAAUGGGGACUAGCAUGAACGGCAUCACGAGGGUCUCACUGUCUCCUUUUUCUAAUCAGUGAAACUGAUCUCCCCGUGAAGAAGCGGGGAUAAAAGUAUAAGACGAGAAGACCCCAUGGAGCUUUAAACCCAAUAGACACCUCUGACUAAUCUAACCCAAAACACUUCUUAAGUUCUGUCUAUUGGUUUUAGGUUGGGGUGACCACGGAGUACAAUAAAUCCUCCAUGACGUACGGGACUUCCCUCUUAUCCUUGAACCACAUUUCUAAGAAUCAACAAAUUGACGUUUGAUGAUCCAAUACAUUGAUCAACGGACCAAGUUACCCUGGGGAUAACAGCGCAAUCCAUUUUAAGAGCCCCUAUCGCCAAAUGGGUUUACGACCUCGAUGUUGGAUCAGGGUAUCCUAGUGGUGCAGCCGCUACUAAUGGUUUGUUUGUUCAACAAUUAAA
RNAcentral lists this ribosomal RNA (629 nucleotides) under Fejervarya limnocharis (Boie's wart frog). RNAcentral's name for it is "partial 16S ribosomal RNA". It matches the Rfam family "Bacterial large subunit ribosomal RNA", at positions 1668 to 2592 of the family's 2925-position model. The record is from RNAcentral. Lineage: Eukaryota; Metazoa; Chordata; Amphibia; Anura; Dicroglossidae.